CGCGGCAAGACGGAAAGACCCCGUGAACCUUUACUAUAGCUUGACACUGAACAUUGAGCCUUGAUGUGUAGGAUAGGUGGGAGGCUUUGAAGUGUGGACGCCAGUCUGCAUGGAGCCGACCUUGAAAUACCACCCUUUAAUGUUUGAUGUUCUAACGUUGGCCCGUAAUCCGGGUUGCGGACAGUGUCUGGUGGGUAGUUUGACUGGGGCGGUCUCCUCCUAAAGAGUAACGGAGGAGCACGAAGGUUGGCUAAUCCUGGUCGGACAUCAGGAGGUUAGUGCAAUGGCAUAAGCCAGCUUGACUGCGAGCGUGACGGCGCGAGCAGGUGCGAAAGCAGGUCAUAGUGAUCCGGUGGUUCUGAAUGGAAGGGCCAUCGCUCAACGGAUAAAAGGUACUCCGGGGAUAACAGGCUGAUACCGCCCAAGAGUUCAUAUCGACGGCGGUGUUUGGCACCUCGAUGUCGGCUCAUCACAUCCUGGGGCUGAAGUAGGUCCCAAGGGUAUGGCUGUUCGCCAUUUAAAGUGGUACGCGAGCUGGGUUUAGAACGUCGUGAGACAGUUCGGUCCCUAUCUGCCGUGGGCGCUGGAGAACUGAGGGGGGCUGCUCCUAGUACGAGAGGACCGGAGUGGACGCAUCACUGGUGUUCGGGUUGUCAUGCCAAUGGCACUGCCCGGUAGCUAAAUGCGGAAGAGAUAAGUGCUGAAAGCAUCUAAGCACGAAACUUGC
This 727-nucleotide ribosomal RNA is filed under the name Escherichia coli. RNAcentral describes it as "partial 23S ribosomal RNA". It matches the Rfam family "Bacterial large subunit ribosomal RNA", at positions 2071 to 2797 of the family's 2925-position model. Lineage: Bacteria; Pseudomonadati; Pseudomonadota; Gammaproteobacteria; Enterobacterales; Enterobacteriaceae. The record is from RNAcentral.